Sus scrofa (pig) is the source of this 450-nucleotide long non-coding RNA. RefSeq lists it as uncharacterized. The record is from RefSeq and is a predicted model, not a curated record. NCBI's taxonomy places the organism in Eukaryota, Metazoa, Chordata, Mammalia, Artiodactyla, Suidae.
ACCACAGCCGCAGCAACGCAGGAUCCGAGCCGGGUCUGCAAACUACAACACAGCUCUUGGCAAUGCUGGAUUCCCCAACCCAUGAAGGAGGCUGUGGAUCAAACCUUCAUCCUCAUGGAUACUAGUCAGCCAUUUGCCUCAAGUUGAAGACUUGGGAGUUACCUGAAGACAGAAUUCACUUUGGAGUUAGUGUUUCUCAUCUCUAAAGGGAAAUCACCUUCUGGUGAAAGAAACAAGAUUCAGAGGUAAGGUGGCUUGUCAGAGAUCCCUACCACAUUUCAAGGAUAAGAGUUGGAACCAUACAUCCUGCCUUCUGAAACGAUAUCCUCUCUAUGCCAUCAUGCCUCUGCCAAAAAGUAGAUAGAAGACUUAUAAGAUGAAAACUAGGAGUUCCCACUGUGCUCAGCAAUAAUGAACCUGACUACUAUACAUGAGGAUGCGGGUUCAAUC